This 484-nucleotide ribosomal RNA is filed under the name uncultured bacterium. RNAcentral's name for it is "partial 16S ribosomal RNA". It matches the Rfam family "Bacterial small subunit ribosomal RNA", at positions 30 to 507 of the family's 1533-position model. The record is from RNAcentral.
AUUGAACGCUGGCGGCAGGCCUAACACAUGCAAGUCGAGCGGAUGAAGGGAGCUUGCUCCUGGAUUCAGCGGCGGACGGGUGAGUAAUGCCUAGGAAUCUGCCUGGUAGUGGGGGAUAACGUCCGGAAACGGGCGCUAAUACCGCAUACGUCCUGAGGGAGAAAGGGGGGGAUCUUCGGACCUCACGCUAUCAGAUGAGCCUAGGUCGGAUUAGCUAGUUGGUGGGGUAAAGGCCUACCAAGGCGACGAUCCGUAGCUGGUCUGAGAGGAUGAUCAGUCACACUGGAACUGAGACACGGUCCAGACUCCUACGGGAGGCAGCAGUGGGGAAUAUUGGGCAAUGGGCGAAAGCCUGAUGGAGCCACGCCGCGUGUGUGAAGAAGGUCUUCGGAUCGUAAAGCACUUUAAGUUGGGAGGAAGGGCAGUAAGUGAAUACCUGGCUGUUUUGACGGUACCAACAGAGAAAGCACCGGCUAACUUCGUG